RNAcentral lists this ribosomal RNA (253 nucleotides) under uncultured bacterium. RNAcentral describes it as "partial 16S ribosomal RNA". It matches the Rfam family "Bacterial small subunit ribosomal RNA", at positions 524 to 776 of the family's 1533-position model. The record is from RNAcentral.
AACGUAGGAGGCAAGCGUUAUCCGUAGUGACUGGGCGUAAAGAGCGUGGAGGCGGUUGAGUAAGUUGCGUGUGAAAGCGCCCGGCUAAACUGGGCGAGGACAGGCAAGACUGCUGAGCUAGGGGCCGAUAGAGGGGUGCGGAAUUCCGGGUGUAGCGGCGAAAUGUGUAGAGAUCCGGAGGAACACCAGUGGUGCAGACGGCGCCCUGGAUCGGACCUGACGGUGAGACGCGAAAGCGUGGGGAGCGAACGGG